GAUUUUGAUCAAUAAAUAUGGAAAUAAGCAUUAACACGAAAACGAGGCUCCAGGUCAUGAUCUGGAGCCUCGUUCUCGUGUUAAAGCUGAUUUCUACAUUUAUUGGUCAAAAUA
Non-coding RNA from Paramuricea clavata, 114 nucleotides. NCBI's taxonomy places the organism in Eukaryota, Metazoa, Cnidaria, Anthozoa, Malacalcyonacea, Plexauridae. The record is from the annotation of a GenBank genome assembly.